GGGUCCCCCACAAGGAGCAUGCGCAGCUCCUCGGAUUCUCCUCUGCCCUCUGUGCGCUCGGCUCGCCAAGGGUUAACAGGAGGCGAGCUGGAAUCCUAGAGAGGCCAGAAAGUGGGGAGGGGGGUCCCAGGUCCUCCAGAGCGGAAGCCCCUCCUUCGUCCUCUGCCAAGGCUGCCUCGGUGGCCCCUCCUGGGAUCCAUGUUUUUACAAUCUGUAUAGAUCCAGCCUUAGCUCAGACUUCUCUUCAUUUUAAUCUUCAAAUGAUCCUGUAACUACAACCAAAGCCUGAAUAUGAACUAACACCUCAGAGAUGAAUUAGAAGUGGUGAAGAGAUCAGAACAUCCCCUCCUGCCCUUUUGGGAACAGAAGCCCUUUGGAGUAUUGCUUGCUUGUGUGUUCAUUUUGUGCGUUUGUGUGUGUAUUUGGAUCUCUGGAAGACAACAUACAUGUUUACACCACGUGAACAUAUAGAGAGGGCACUGCUGCCUACAAUCAGCUACAAAAACUGAGUCCUCUUUAUACCGACAAUAAAAUACCUGCAAUGAAUGAAAUGUGAUUCUGGCAUACGAAGCACUUUGUGUUUAUCCCUUCCUGCAAUUUGGAAGGAAAAUGUAGCCAAUCCACUUUAAAUUCUUUAAUUGCAAUGGUUCAGCAGCCAGCAUAUUUUAAAGGAAACUUGUGGAGUAUUUAUUCUUUUAUUUUAUUCUUUAGAGCCUUAAACUGCCUUUACUACUCAGAAGUCCCAUUGAAUUCAAUGGAGCUUUCUCUGAGAUAACUGUGUAAAGAUUCUGCAGUCUUAUACUGCAAUCUUCAGCAUUUUUACUCAGAGGUAUACGACUGAGUUCAGUAGGACUU
Long non-coding RNA from Podarcis raffonei (Aeolian wall lizard), 855 nucleotides. RefSeq lists it as uncharacterized. The record is from RefSeq and is a predicted model, not a curated record. The transcript has 3 exons. NCBI's taxonomy places the organism in Eukaryota, Metazoa, Chordata, Lepidosauria, Squamata, Lacertidae.